RNAcentral lists this ribosomal RNA (460 nucleotides) under uncultured bacterium. Its description in RNAcentral is "partial 16S ribosomal RNA". It matches the Rfam family "Bacterial small subunit ribosomal RNA", at positions 338 to 795 of the family's 1533-position model. The record is from RNAcentral.
CCUACGGGAGGCUGCAGUGAGGAAUAUUGGUCAAUGGCCGAGAGGCUGAACCAGCCAAGUCGCGUGCGGGAAGAAUGUCCUAUGGAUUGUAAACCUCUUUUGUCAGGGAGCAAAGUCACCCACGUGUGGCUGUUUGAGAGUACCUGAAGAAAAAGCAUCGGCUAACUCCGUGCCAGCAGCCGCGGUAAUACGGAGGAUGCGAGCGUUAUCCGGAUUUAUUGGGUUUAAAGGGUGCGUAGGCCGCGUCUUAAGCCCGCCGUUAAAUGCGGGGGCCCAACCCUGUCCCAGCGGUGCGAACUGGGGAGCUUGAGUGGGCGGGACGUAUGCGGAAUGCGUGGUGUAGCGGUGAAAUGCAUAGAUAUCACGAAGAACUCCGAUUGCGAAGGCAGCAUACCGGCGCGCUACUGACGCUGAAGCUCGAAGGCGUGGGUAUCGAACAGGAUUAGAUACCCCUGUAGUC